CAGUCGCCACGGUAAUACAGAGGGUGCGAGCGUUAAUCGGAUUUACUGGGCGUAAAGCGUGCGUAGGCGGCUUCUUAAGUCGGAUGUGAAAUCCCUGAGCUUAACUUAGGAAUUGCAUUCGAUACUGGGAAGCUAGAGUAUGGGAGAGGAUGGUAGAAUUCCAGGUGUAGCGGUGAAAUGCGUAGAGAUCUGGAGGAAUACCGAUGGCGAAGGCAGCCAUCUGGCCUAAUACUGACGCUGAGGUACGAAAGCAUGGGGAGCAAACAGGAUUAGAUACCCCGUAGUCCCUGUCUCUUAUACA
Molecule: ribosomal RNA, 301 nt
Filed under: uncultured bacterium
Lineage: Bacteria
Description: partial 16S ribosomal RNA
Rfam family: Bacterial small subunit ribosomal RNA
Source: RNAcentral